CGCUCUUAAAAACCUAAAUGUCUUUUUUUAUAAUUUUUGUAUUCAAUCUCUCAGUGUGAAUAGUACAUACUACUCUCCCCUGGAUCCCUGGUUGAAGGCCUGUGAAGAGGUACCUGGAAUGUCUGAGCACCACAUAGCAGACCGAGAUGAACAGGUGUGUGACGAGGCCUGCCCUCCCCAGCUCAAUGCACAGACGCUAACAUAGAGCCCCACUCUCAGGUGUGUGACGUGGCCUGCCCUCCCCAGCUCAAUGCACAGACGCUAAGAUAGAGCCCCACUCUCAGGUGUGUGACGUGGCCUGCCCUCCCCAGCUCAAUGCACAGACGCUAAGAUAGAGCCCCACUCUCAGGUGUGUGACGUGGCCUGCCCUCCCCAGCUCAAUGCACAGACGCUAAGAUAGAGUCACACUCUCCCUGGAUAUUGUCUGCUGAAUAGACAUCACUAGUGUGGAAGACACACUGUGGCUGAGUGUCAGUACACUAAAAAGGCAGUGCCUCUUGAGUAUCAAAAGGAAGAAAUAUGAAUCAGUUUUGUGGUCAGGCCAUAUCAGGUUUUAAU
Molecule: long non-coding RNA, 558 nt
Organism: Esox lucius (northern pike)
Lineage: Eukaryota; Metazoa; Chordata; Actinopteri; Esociformes; Esocidae
Source: Ensembl